UUUACAUGGUUGCCAUUCAGAUAAGUAUAGGCAUCAGGUUUUUGCAUCUGGAACACCGACAGGAAGCCACCUCUAUCUACACUUCUACAGCGACAUCAACACUUCUACAGCCACAGAGAGACGAGACGAAACAAAAAGAGAGAGAUAGAGAGAAGAGAACGGGGGAAGAAGGAAAAGAAGAGAAGAGAGACGGGAACCUCUUGCUUAAAAGAAAACAAGUGGAAGGUAUUUGUGAGAAUCUGAUUUGUUGUUUUUGUCUCUAGAAAUUGAUUCAUCUCAAGCUGGUUUUUUGCGGUUCCUACUCUUUCAUUGAUAUUUGAUAUGAAGGUUUGUAAUUUCUUGCAGAAAGUUACGGAUUUAUGUUUAGUUUUUAACUUUCAAACCAAUUUGUACGAUAUUUCUACUCUGUGAAUGUUGUUCUGUUACUGAUUCAGAAAGAUUACAUCUUUAUUGAUUUUCUCUAUUCAUGUUUCAAUAGUUAUCAAUCGUUUGUAUUCUCUGUGUUUUUGUUCAAACUUCUUAGGUUCUUGCUUUUAGUAUUUCUGCUUUUCCAGUUUCUGUGCAUUUUCUGUCUCUUUGUAUUGGGUAUGUAUAAAAUCUCGGUGUUUUGUACUGGGGAUUAGUUUUUGAACUUCAAACUUCUUUUUUUCUUCUGGGUUUACCAUUUUUCUGCUUUUCAUAUUGAUUUUUAAUAUAAAACAAAGAACUUUUGUCAAUUUGUUUGAAAAUCUUCAAUGUAUUGAAUUAUAUUAUGCAUCUCAUUGAGUUUCGAUGAAUUUGUGAGACCAUUGAUUUGGUUGUUUAGUUUCGCGGCCUUAGUUUUUUAUUGAAAUUAAUUAGAUAAAUAGAUAACUUGAAAGAAGAUGGAAUUUGUUAAUAAGAAUGUUGUUAGCUAAAGAACUAGCUUGCUAGCUAGCUAGGCACUUAGAAUAGUCAAAUGUGAGAUCUUGCUGAAAAAAAAAAGUGGUCAAAUCCAUGAUAGUGUAUCUACGAAUUGGGAAAAGAGAUUUGGAGCUGUUGAAUUUAAGCCUUCUGGCAUAUUGAAGUCAAACAAGAGAGCUUUCAAGGGUUUUGAUCUCAGCCAAUGUAAAACUUUUGUUGGCCAUUUGCAUAACUUACAACUUUAAGUCCCCAAAUUUUGUUUUCAUGUAUCAUUCAUUUUGGAUUUUUCUGAAGGGGAUAGUAUUGAGGAAGCAGGGAUCUAGACCUUCUUGGCUCAUUUACUCACAAUGACCUUUUUUUGGGCGGUUCCUGCAAGUAGUCCUGACUUUAUAUUGUAGGAUUCUAUAAUUGCUGCAAUUGAGUUACCUUCUCAGCUUUGCCCUGUUGCUGGCCGUCAGACUCAUUUGGUCAGUAGAUGAAUUCUACAUGUAACAAAGGGGAAUACUAUUUUUUUUUUUGGUAAGUUCACAUUGAAUCUAUCACUGAAUAUAGAAUAUCAUAUCCAAAAAGUAACUUAGUAAGCACCACUGAAACAGUACAAAGAAAAUUUGGUUAUAGGUACGGUAUUUAUGAUGGUUUUUGGGUGGUAUGUUCUCUUUUGACUGCAAAGUUUGAAAUCGGCGUAGUUUCUGUACCAUAAGAUUGUCACCUUGCUGACUUGAUUAUGUGCCAAAGUGGAGAGGAAAAGAGCUAAAUUGAAAAUAAAGGUUGCAGAAGAAAUGCAGAUUGAGAAAAAAGGGAAAAUUAUUGCUGCCAUUCUUCUUUUAGAGGCUUUAGGGUUUAUCCCAGCUUCUGUAUCUUUGGGAAGUUCCUUGGUUUCUGUUUUGUAUCUUUGUACUCAUUGUUUUAGUAGUGUACUGUUUUGAAUAAAAUUUUGAUAUACAUCAGAAAGAGAAGAGGAAAAGCUUUCUGAUAGUCAUUGGUUUCUC
Long non-coding RNA from Rosa rugosa (rugosa rose), 1871 nucleotides. RefSeq lists it as uncharacterized. The record is from RefSeq and is a predicted model, not a curated record. Lineage: Eukaryota; Viridiplantae; Streptophyta; Magnoliopsida; Rosales; Rosaceae. The transcript has 2 exons.